GGCAGUGUUAAAACCUAUACCGUGACGUCAUUUUACAGAUACGGAUACAGCAUUCUUAUUAAUGUCGCUUUCUGCAGGAAUCGUCAACAUUGCUUGUAUGGUAUUGAUGGUAGCGUUUUCCAUGAACUCAUAUACACAUUUAACUGUAUAUAUAAACAAAAUUGCUGUCCUUAUCAAUAUAUUGCUGAAAGUAUUCAAAAGGAUCGUUGAUCAGGAGACGUGGCUUAUCACCGCUGGCAUGAUACAUAUAUUGCUGAUUUCGAUUUCCCGCCUGAUUUGUCCAGGUUCAUUACUAGAUUUGAAGACAAAAGUAUGUGCAUAUACACAGCGUUGCAUAAUAUCCCAGUGUUACAUACAAAUUGAUGAUCUCUAAUAUCAUAUUGCAUUUACGUUCAGCAGUUCUCCAGCAUAUAUCUGUUGAUAAAACCGUGAGAAAGUCAUACGCAAGAUGUUCCGAUUGUAUUUGUACAUUUACACCAAUAAUGGUUCCCCCUAUCAAAGUACCGACCUUGACAAGCAAUGUAACAGUUGAAGGUGAUGUCACAGAGGAGAACAGAAGACUGACAGAGCGCAUAUUGUGCAUCAACUGUAAGACACGAAACAGAGAAGUUACAUACAUUCCAUGUGGACAUUUCUUAUACUGUUCUAUCUGUGACAAUCUGAAGUAUCACAGAAUCUGCCCCUUAUGUCAUACCAGAAUUAAAGGGUCAGUCCGUGAGGGGCAAUAGUUUAAGUGUGCCAUUUUGUAAUUAGAGAGUAUCUGAUAAAACGUUUAUUUAUUCUUUGUUGUAAAGUUUCUUGCUUAGCCCAAGGCGUUCUUCCACUUCACAGCAGUAUACCUUUCAUUUGCACAUGUUAACUUGAUAUGUAACACCCGAAUAAAAUUGAAACGAGAGUGAAUGUUGAGUAACAGUGUGAACAAGUGAAUGUAUAUCAUUGCCUUAAUAACGGCAUUUUUCUAAGAUGAAGAGAUUAUGUGAUAGAUGCAAACGUCUACUUGAUCAUAUUAAAUCAUGCCGAAUUUUUUUCGAACAAACUGCAGUUACCUGCAGUUACACAAGAUUGGUCUGAUGCAUGGUUUGGAAUGUAUAUAUUGUAUAGGAAAUACUAUAAUAUUUUCAUAAUGGCCACAGGCAGAGGUCGAUGACCUAUUACAGAGCCAUUAUUAAAACACAUGUCUUCUUGUUAUUAUUUUACAUAAUCUAUUUAAGAUGCUUUGAAUUAGAUACAUGUCAAUAUACUACAAAUCUGGAACAGUGAUGAAUCACUUUUUUAGAUAUAAAUCAUUUUAACAUUUUCUUUUUAUACGCCCGUUUUGAAAAAACGGAUGUGUGAUGUGAUGACGCGUACGUCUGUCUGUCUGUCUGUCUUUCUGUUAUAAUUUUUGUCCGGAGCAUAAAGUUAUAACGAAGAAAGGUAACUUUAAACUUGGCAUAUAGAUAGAUGGCGAUGAGACGAUGUGAAGAGCGCUUGAAUCGACUAUGAAGAUCAAAGUUCAAGGUCACAAAUUGAGUUGAAAGGUCGAAACUGUCCAUCAUAUUUUGUGUCUGGAGCAUAACAAAAUAACCAUGCAAGGUAUUGACUUCAAACUUGGCAUGUAGGUAGGUGGCAAUGAGGCGAUGUACAAAGCACAUAAACCGGUUCCGUAGGUCAAAUGUCAAGGUCACAAACUGAGCUCAAAAUUCGAAGCCGUCCGUCAUAUUUAGUGUCCGGAGCAUAACUUAUUAACCAUUUAAGAUAUUGACUUCAAACCUGGUAUGUAGGUAGAUAGUGAUGAGACAAUGUACAUAGAACAUGAUAUUGAUCUGUAGGUUUAAGGUCAAGGUCAUAAUCUGAGCUCAAAGGUCAGAUCUACCCUUCAUAUUUAGUGUAUUAACCAUACAAGGUAAUGACUUCAAACUUGGGAUGUAUGUAGGUGGUGAUAUGAGGAUGUGUAGAGUGCAUGAACUAGGGUGGUAAAUCAAAGGUCAAGGUCAAAUCUGCCCAUCAUAUUUCGUGUCCAGAGCAUCAUUUAAAAGUAUAAUAUGCAGACUGCAACAAUCUACAUUACACCCCCGCUCCCGCCCCCAGAAAUCAUUUAGUUUAUUGUCCUUUAGUAUCUUGCCC
Long non-coding RNA from Mercenaria mercenaria, 2106 nucleotides. RefSeq lists it as uncharacterized. The transcript is spliced from 5 exons. The record is from RefSeq and is a predicted model, not a curated record. NCBI's taxonomy places the organism in Eukaryota, Metazoa, Mollusca, Bivalvia, Venerida, Veneridae.